ACAGAUCUUGCUCUGUUGCUCAGCUGAAGUAUGGUGUUGUGAUCAAAACUCACUGCAGCCUGGAACUCCUGGGCUCAAGGCAUCCUUCUGCCUUGGCUCCCGAGUAGCUGGGACCACAGGUGCAAGCCUCUGCACUGCUGUUAAAUGAGUCAAGAGACCCGGAUCUAGAUCCAGCUGCACCGAUCCACAGUGCUCCUCUGCAGCAACCUCAGAACAGUGGCCCACACUCCUAGAAUUUGAGAAAAUGCCAUCUUCUUCGGAGGACAGAGGUCAAUCUCCAGGGCCUGGAAUGUGCGCUUCAGUUCGUGGAUGUCACCUUGUCUGCUCUGCACAGUGGCUGGACUGGCUGCCUCCUGGGACAUGGCUGCAGACUGUGGAACCAAGCAAGGCAAAGGCGUCAGCAUUGGGACCUCAUGGAAAUGCAACCUUUGGGAAGUCCGAUGAUGUCUAUUAUUGUAUCAUCAAAUUCCCUGAUGUUUUCCUCUCUGGCCUGCAUUCUGCUGUUAAGCCCAUCUCCAUUGAGGUUUCUAUUUUGGUUCUAUGAUAUAACAGUGAGCCUGGAAAACUGGCCUGAAUCAAAUGAGAAUUAAAACCUGCCGGAAUGCUUAAGCGACCAUGGCCCAGAGGUUUCUCUCCAGCUCUGCUUCUCCCUCCCUGUCUCUGGAGGCUGCUGCAGCAUCAGACUCAAGCCCAGGAGUGAAGGUAAGGCAUCUUAGAGGACAAGCUGUGGACCUGUCACUUCUGCUUCUAUUAAUAGCUGGGUAAACGGCAGUACUCGGGAAAGGCAAGGAAAUGUGAUCCUCCGAUAUGGAAGAGGGCUUAACAUCUCAGGGCCUGACUUAUCAGUGACACAACGGACACUGCCUUUGUCUCACGCACCAGGCUUUGCUGUGCUUGGAGUUCAAUUUCCAGAGCACUGGCUGUGCGUUUCAGUUCCAAGAUCUCCGUCUGGCAGCCCUGCAGCUGCUCCGCGCUGGACAGUUGCUGCUGAUUCAGCUCUUCUGUCUGAAACACAGACACCAUUAGAGAAUUCAAAAAAGGCAGAAGUCUGUAAGCCUGACAUUUUUUCAAUCUGGGUACUGACCUGAACAGCCAACCAUUCUUCAGCUUCUCUGCGAUUGUUGGCAAGCACCGUUUCAUACUGACAGCGCAUCUCAUCCAGGACCCUGUUGAGGUCAAGGGUGGGGGCAGUGUCCAGCUCCACACUGAGGCGGUCGCCAAGCUGUCCACGAAGCAAGUUGACUUCCUGAAAGUGGGAUGGUGUAAAGAAUGUCACAGAAUGGUGGGGAAAAAUCCAUUUGACAUCCAAUGGCAUUCUACUUCUGUUUUUUGGAGCAGUGGGUAAAAGUGUGAGAUUUUGAUUCAGGUUGCCUGGGCUGAAUCUCUUUUCACCACUUAGAAGGGCCUCAGUUUCUUCAUCUGUAAAAUGGACAUAAUAAUUGGACAUUUUUCCAGAAAGUUAUUGUGAGAUCUAGAAGAGUCAAUCUACACAUAAUUAACUUAUAAAAGUUAAUUAUGACACAUAGUAAGGUGUCAAUAAAUGUUAGCUAUGAUUGUCAUCAACAAAUGUUCAAAGAGCAAAUGUACUUUGUUACAUCAUUCAGCUUUUCAUUUUCUAGCUUUAUCAAUAUAUCAGUCGCUGUAUAUUUUAUGAUUUUUAGAAGUUUAUAAAUACGGAAUAUUUAAAAACACUGGUCCAGAUAGUGCACAGUCUUUAUCCCUUUUUUGAAAUGGACUUCACAGUCUGUUCCUCAGCCUGAUUUUCAUACCCUGUGGACUGGAGCUAGGGGUGGCAUAAAGCCUCCAAAGGAAGCCAUUUGUGAAGUUACCUCCUCCACAAAGGCAAGGGCAGGAGAAGAGUUUGAUUCCUUCAUCUGGCACUGUCUAGGGGUUAUUUCACACCUUAAAUCAGAGACACACUGGAAUGAUCAGGUUGAAUAGUAAUAAUGCCUCG
This is a long non-coding RNA of Gorilla gorilla gorilla (western lowland gorilla), 1954 nucleotides long. RefSeq lists it as uncharacterized. The record is from RefSeq and is a predicted model, not a curated record. The transcript has 6 exons. NCBI's taxonomy places the organism in Eukaryota, Metazoa, Chordata, Mammalia, Primates, Hominidae.